Molecule: ribosomal RNA, 479 nt
Filed under: uncultured bacterium
Lineage: Bacteria
Description: partial 16S ribosomal RNA
Rfam family: Bacterial small subunit ribosomal RNA
Source: RNAcentral
GGAUGAACGCUGGCGGCGUGCUUAACACAUGCAAGUCGAACGAGAAGUGAAGACGGACACCUUCGGGCGGAAGGCUUUAUUUCGAGUGGCGGACGGGUGAGUAACGCGUGGGUAACCUGCCUCAUACAGGGGGAUAACAGUUGGAAACGACUGUUAAUACCGCAUAAGACCACAGCACCGCAUGGUGCGGGGGUAAAAACUCCGGUGGUAUGAGAUGGACCCGCGUUCGAUUAGCCAGUUGGCGGGGUAACGGCCCACCAAAGCGACGAUCGAUAGCCGAUCUGAGAGGAUGACCGGCCACAUUGGGACUGAGACACGGCCCAAACUCCUACGGGAGGCAGCAGUGGGGAAUAUUGCACAAUGGGGGAAACCCUGAUGCAGCGACGCCGCGUGAGUGAAGAAGUAUUUCGGUAUGUAAAGCUCUAUCAGCAGGGAAGAAAAUGACGGUACCUGAGUAAGAAGCCCCGGCUAACUACGUG